AGAGUUUGAUCAUGGCUCAGAGUGAACGCUGGCGGCAGGCCUAACACAUGCAAGUCGAACGGCAGCACAGCAGUAGCAAUACUGUGGGUGGCGAGUGGCGGACGGGUGAGGAAUGCAUCGGAAUCUGCCUAUUUGUGGGGGAUAACGUAGGGAAACUUACGCUAAUACCGCAUACGUCCUACGGGAGAAAGUGGGGGACCUUCGGGCCUCACGCAGAUAGAUGAGCCGAUGCCGGAUUAGCUAGUUGGCGGGGUAAAGGCCCACCAAGGCGACGAUCCGUAGCUGGUCUGAGAGGAUGAUCAGCCACACUGGAACUGAGACACGGUCCAGACUCCUACGGGAGGCAGCAGUGGGGAAUAUUGGACAAUGGGCGCAAGCCUGAUCCAGCCAUGCCGCGUGUGUGAAGAAGGCCUUCGGGUUGUAAAGCACUUUUGUCCGGAAAGAAAAGCUUCGGGUUAAUAACCCGGGGUUAUGACGGUACUGGAAGAAUAAGCACCGGCUAACUUCGUGCCAGCAGCCGCGGUAAUACA
RNAcentral lists this ribosomal RNA (530 nucleotides) under uncultured bacterium. RNAcentral describes it as "bacterial SSU rRNA". It matches the Rfam family "Bacterial small subunit ribosomal RNA", at positions 8 to 527 of the family's 1533-position model. The record is from RNAcentral.